Molecule: ribosomal RNA, 466 nt
Filed under: uncultured bacterium
Lineage: Bacteria
Description: partial 16S ribosomal RNA
Rfam family: Bacterial small subunit ribosomal RNA
Source: RNAcentral
GACGAACGCUGGCGGUGUGCUUAACACAUGCAAGUCGAACGGUAAGGCCCUUUCGGGGGUACACGAGUGGCGAACGGGUGAGUAACACGUGAGUAACCUGCCCUCAUCUCUGGGAUAACAGUCGGAAACGGUUGCUAAUACUGGAUAUGAGCUUGCAAGGCAUCUUGUGGGUUGGAAAGAUUUUUUUGGUUGGGGAUGGACUCGCGGCCUAUCAGCUUGUUGGUGAGGUAGUGGCUCACCAAGGCUUCGACGGGUAGCCGGCCUGAGAGGGCGACCGGCCACAGUGGGACUGAGAUACGGCCCAAACUCCUACGGGAGGCAGCAGUGGGGAAUAUUGCACAAUGGACGGAAGUCUGAUGCAGCAACGCCGCGUGCGGGAUGACGGCCUUCGGGUUGUAAACCGCUUUCAAUUGUGACGAAGCUUUUUGUGACGGUAGCAGUAGAGGAAGCACCGGCUAACUACGUG